AGCAAAUGCCUUGAGUUCAGUUCAAGGCAGUGUCCCUGUUCUGCUCAUUAAACUUUGGGACAUUGAACCAGCUAGGGUAAAUGAUUGACUAGAAAAUUUUAUUGUAUUCACUUACCUCCCAGGCUAAAAAA
This is a small nucleolar RNA of Artibeus jamaicensis (Jamaican fruit-eating bat), 131 nucleotides long. The record is from RefSeq and is a predicted model, not a curated record. Lineage: Eukaryota; Metazoa; Chordata; Mammalia; Chiroptera; Phyllostomidae.